UAGGCAGCUCUUGUGGUGCAUCACAAUCGUUUGAGAAGCGUCACAGUAGAGCAUUUUUCUACACGCGGAGCGGUGUUUUUAUUUGCAGGUUUCCCUUCAGUAGGAAAUUGCUGGACAGGCGGACCAGCGCACCGGAAUUGUACUGACGAAGCCACAAGCAACUCAAAGAAUCUGUUUAAUUGUUGCACUUUGAACAAUCAUGCUUCCACAAAGGCCACAGCAGAAACACAGCCUGAUGCCGAUUUCUGUGCCACGAAGUAAUCAAGGGGCGAGUGCCUAAUGCGGACGAAAUCGAGUGCAUCGAGACUUCUAACGACAGAAAGCUGAGCUAGUUGAUAUGCAAUGGCAAGCCCUUCCAUGUGUUCAAAGACAAUGCCUACGCCUAGCCACAGCAGCUCCCUCAUACAGACUCCGCAAGCCAAGAGGCCGUGGAGGCAAAUGCAGGUAAGAGGCAAGAAACAAUAGCACUGGUAUCGACAUUCACCUAAUUUCUUUCUAUUUCUUUCGUUUAGGCAGCCAGCACACCGCGAACAGCCACCUUGACUGCAGGUGUGUCACCCUAGUCGCCAAGGAAACAUUUGAUGGAAAGCGACAGGCAAUGUGAAGAGCCACUUCUCCAUGUAAACGAUACUCUUUCUCUCGGAUGACUCCUACGCCUCGCCACGCCAGCACACUUGUGCACAAAGGUGCCACGGAGGCACGUGCAGGUCAGAGGCAAGAAGCAGUGGCACUGGUGUGGACAUUCACCCAAUUUCUUUUUCUUACGCUGAGGCAGCCAGCACACCUCGAACAGCCACCUUGACUGCGGGUGUGUCAGUAGUUGCUGUUGUACAUAUGCUCAUAAUAAACUUCAGUAAACUUGAACUUGACAAUAAACUUGAAGGCAAAUGGGA
Dermacentor andersoni is the source of this 893-nucleotide non-coding RNA. NCBI's taxonomy places the organism in Eukaryota, Metazoa, Arthropoda, Arachnida, Ixodida, Ixodidae. The record is from RefSeq and is a predicted model, not a curated record.